RNAcentral lists this ribosomal RNA (396 nucleotides) under uncultured bacterium. Its description in RNAcentral is "bacterial SSU rRNA". It matches the Rfam family "Bacterial small subunit ribosomal RNA", at positions 355 to 767 of the family's 1533-position model. The record is from RNAcentral.
UAGGGAAUAUUGCAAAAUGGGCGAAAGCCCGAUGCAGCAACGCCGCGUGGGCGAUGAAGGCCUUCGGGUCGUAAAGCCCUUUUUGAGGGGAUGAGGAAGGACAGUACCCUCAGAAUAAGCCUCGGCUAACUACGUGCCAGCAGCCGCGGUAAAACGUAGGAGGCGAGCGUUAUCCGGAUUUACUGGGCGUAAAGAGCGUGCAGGCGGAUUGGUGAGUUGGAUGUGAAAGCUCCCGGCUUAACUGGGAGAGGUCGUUCACUACUUCCAUUCUUGAGUGCAGUAGAGGGAAGUGGAAUUCCGGGUGUAGUGGUGAAAUGCGUAGAUAUCCGGAGGAACACCAGUUGCGAAAGCGGCUUCCUGGACUGUAACUGACGCUCAGACGCGAAAGCUAGGGUA